AGUGAACGCUGGCGGCAGGCCUAACACAUGCAAGUCGAACGGCAACACGAUGCGAGUUUCUGCUUCGCUGUGGCGUGGCGGAGGGGGGAGAGAUGUCUAUCGGGCUGCCCUUUGUCGUGGGGGAUAAAGUGGGAACGGUAACGAAAACACCGUAUACGCCCUAGGGCAAAGAGCGGGACAUCUUGGCCCCUUGCGCGCUUGUAUGCGCCGAUGUCGGAUUAGCUAGUUGGUGGGGUAAAGGCCCACCAAGGCGACGAUCCGUAGCUGGUCUGAGAGGAUGACCAGCCACACUGGAACUGAGACACGGUCCAGACUCCUACGGGAGGCAGCAGUGGGGAAUAUUGGACAAUGGGCGCAAGCCUGAUGCAGCCAUGCCGCGUGUAUGAAGAAGGCCUUCGGGUUGUAAAGUCCUUUUGGCGGGGAGGAAAGGAGUAAAGUUAAUACCUUUGCUCAUUGACGUUACCCGAAGAAGAAGCACCGGCUAACUUCGUG
RNAcentral lists this ribosomal RNA (492 nucleotides) under uncultured bacterium. RNAcentral describes it as "partial 16S ribosomal RNA". It matches the Rfam family "Bacterial small subunit ribosomal RNA", at positions 29 to 507 of the family's 1533-position model. The record is from RNAcentral.